Molecule: long non-coding RNA, 706 nt
Organism: Panicum virgatum (switchgrass)
Lineage: Eukaryota; Viridiplantae; Streptophyta; Magnoliopsida; Poales; Poaceae
Exons: 2
Source: RefSeq, a predicted model, not a curated record
UCGCGGACGCCGAACGCCGGCGCGGCCACUCGCGAGGCCCGGCGAGGCAGACGCGCGGACGCCGCACGCAGGCGCGGCCACUUGCCUUGCGCGCGCGGACGCAAGGCGAGGCAGGCGCGCGGACGCCCGGGUGCAGAAGUGCCGACCGGACGGACUCCCAGCAUCUCAGCAGUACAUCUGUGAAUCCAUACAUUGGUGGGCGAGCUUGAAGCCAACUCCCUGGCUGGUGAACACCUUGAAAUAUGAGAGGAGAAUGGCCAUAUGGUGGGUGGAUUCCUGGAGGACCAAAAGGAUUGAAGUUCUGUAGAAAAUUGGAUGUCCCAAAGGGAAACUGAGAUUGGGGUGUAGGAGGUGAGAACUGGCCACUUCCCUCUGAUGAGUACUGAGAUGGAGAGUCAUGAUUCAAGAGGUUUGAAAUGUUUCUGGGGUUGGGUUCCAUUGGAAGGUGGUUGUGUUCUAGAGUUGAAUCUCAAGUGCUGAGAUUUGAGCAACAAACUCAUUCAGUAUUUGUACAGGUAGCAAGCAGGCAAGAAGAGGAGGCCAACGCCCAAUGGCUAGCAACUGGAGCCUAUGGCUCUUUAUUUGUUUAACGUACUGUGUCAGAUGUACAGUAGAAGAAACAUUUUUUAUUGUCAUAUGGGCAGGCCAUAGCCCUAUGGUUGGCUUUUAUUAUUUCUUCCCUAUUGACUACUCUCACAAUGUAUCA